This 433-nucleotide ribosomal RNA is filed under the name uncultured bacterium. Its description in RNAcentral is "partial 16S ribosomal RNA". It matches the Rfam family "Bacterial small subunit ribosomal RNA", at positions 29 to 507 of the family's 1533-position model. The record is from RNAcentral.
AACGAACGCUGGCGGCAUGCCUAAUACAUGCAAGUCGAACGAGAUCUUCGGAUCUAGUGGCGCACGGGUGCGUAACGCGUGGGAAUCUGCCCUUGGGUUCGGAAUAACUUCUGGAAACGGAAGCUAAUACCGGAUGAUGACGUAAGUCCAAAGAUUUAUCGCCCAAGGAUGAGCCCGCGUACGAUUAGGUAGUUGGUGAGGUAAAGGCUCACCAAGCCGACGAUCCUUAGCUGGUCUGAGAGGAUGAUCAGCCACACUGGGACUGAGACACGGCCCAGACUCCUACGGGAGGCAGCAGUAGGGAAUAUUGGACAAUGGGCGAAAGCCUGAUCCAGCAAUGCCGCGUGAGUGAUGAAGGCCUUAGGGUUGUAAAGCUCUUUUACCCGGGAUGAUAAUGACAGUACCGGGAGAAUAAGCUCCGGCUAACUCCGUG